UACGUAGGGUGCCAGCGUUAAUCGGAAUUACUGGGCGUAAAGCGUGCGCAGGCGGUUUUGUAAGUCUGACGUGAAAGCCCCGGGCUCAACCUGGGAAUGGCGAUGAAGACUGCAAGGCUUGAAUCUGGCAGAGGGGGGUAGAAUUCCACGUGUAGCAGUGAAAUGCGUAGAGAUGUGGAGGAACACCGAUGGCGAAGGCAGCCCCCUGGGUCAAGAUUGACGCUCAUGCACGAAAGCGUGGGGAGCGAACAGG
Molecule: ribosomal RNA, 253 nt
Filed under: uncultured bacterium
Lineage: Bacteria
Description: partial 16S ribosomal RNA
Rfam family: Bacterial small subunit ribosomal RNA
Source: RNAcentral